RNAcentral lists this ribosomal RNA (468 nucleotides) under uncultured bacterium. RNAcentral describes it as "partial 16S ribosomal RNA". It matches the Rfam family "Bacterial small subunit ribosomal RNA", at positions 28 to 507 of the family's 1533-position model. The record is from RNAcentral.
GACGAACGCUGGCGGUGUGCUUAACACAUGCAAGUCGAACGGUAAGGCCCUUUCGGGGGUACACGAGUGGCGAACGGGUGAGUAACACGUGAGUAACCUGCCCUCAUCUCUGGGAUAACAGUCGGAAACGGUUGCUAAUACUGGAUAUGAGCUUGCAAGGCAUCUUGUGGGUUGGAAAGAUUUUUUUUGGUUGGGGAUGGACUCGCGGCCUAUCAGCUUGUUGGUGAGGUAGUGGCUCACCAAGGCUUCGACGGGUAGCCGGCCUGAGAGGGCGACCGGCCACAUUGGGACUGAGAUACGGCCCAAACUCCUACGGGAGGCAGCAGUGGGGAAUAUUGCACAAUGGACGGAAGUCUGAUGCAGCAACGCCGCGUGCGGGAUGACGGCCUUCGGGUUGUAAACCGCUUCCAAUUGUGACGAAGCUUUUUUGUGACGGUAGCAGUAGAAGAAGCACCGGCUAACUACGUG